This 74-nucleotide transfer RNA is filed under the name Candidatus Latescibacterota bacterium. RNAcentral describes it as "tRNA-Arg". It matches the Rfam family "tRNA". Rfam says of the family: Transfer RNA (tRNA) molecules are approximately 80 nucleotides in length. Their secondary structure includes four short double-helical elements and three loops (D, anti-codon, and T loops). Further hydrogen bonds mediate the characteristic L-shaped molecular structure. tRNAs have two regions of fundamental functional importance: the anti-codon, which is responsible for specific mRNA codon recognition, and the 3' end, to which the tRNAs corresponding amino acid is attached (by aminoacyl-tRNA synthetases). tRNAs cope with the degeneracy of the genetic code in two manners: having more than one tRNA (with a specific anti-codon) for a particular amino acid; and 'wobble' base-pairing, i.e. permitting non-standard base-pairing at the 3rd anti-codon position. Lineage: Bacteria; Pseudomonadati; Candidatus Latescibacterota. The record is from RNAcentral.
GCGCCCAUAGCUCAAUUGGAUAGAGCGUCUGGCUACGGACUAGAAGGUUGGGGGUUCGAGUCCUCCUGGGCGUA